AUUGAACGCUGGCGGCAGGCUUAACACAUGCAAGUCGAGCGGGGGAAGGUAGCUUGCUACUGGACCUAGCGGCGGACGGGUGAGUAAUGCUUAGGAAUCUGCCUAUUAGUGGGGGACAACAUCUCGAAAGGGAUGCUAAUACCGCAUACGUCCUACGGGAGAAAGCAGGGGAUCUUCGGACCUUGCGCUAAUAGAUGAGCCUAAGUCGGAUUAGCUAGUUGGUGGGGUAAAGGCCUACCAAGGCGACGAGCUGUAGCGGGUCUGAGAGGAUGAGCCGCCACACUGGGACUGCGACACGGCCCAGACUCCUACGGGAGGCAGCAGUGGGGAAUAUUGGACAAUGGGGGGAACCCUGAUCCAGCCAUGCCGCGUGUGUGAAGAAGGCCUUAUGGUUGUAAAGCACUUUAAGCGAGGAGGAGGCUACUUUAGUUAAUACCUAGAGAUAGUGGACGUUACUCGCAGAAUAAGCACCGGCUAACUCUGUGCCAGCCGCCGCAGUAA
RNAcentral lists this ribosomal RNA (501 nucleotides) under uncultured bacterium. RNAcentral's name for it is "partial 16S ribosomal RNA". It matches the Rfam family "Bacterial small subunit ribosomal RNA", at positions 30 to 523 of the family's 1533-position model. The record is from RNAcentral.